This 72-nucleotide transfer RNA is filed under the name Marmota monax (woodchuck). RNAcentral describes it as "tRNA.Val". It matches the Rfam family "tRNA". From Rfam's summary of the family: Transfer RNA (tRNA) molecules are approximately 80 nucleotides in length. Lineage: Eukaryota; Metazoa; Chordata; Mammalia; Rodentia; Sciuridae. The record is from RNAcentral.
GGUAUAUAGCUCAGUUGGUAGAGUGCUUGCCUCACAUGCAUAAGGCCCUGGGUUCAAUCCCCAGCACUACCA